Molecule: non-coding RNA, 2792 nt
Organism: Arachis ipaensis
Lineage: Eukaryota; Viridiplantae; Streptophyta; Magnoliopsida; Fabales; Fabaceae
Source: RefSeq, a predicted model, not a curated record
AAGUGAAAAAGAAGAAGAGCUACGAAGAAGACAGGGGAAGAAAGGAGAGGAACGAGGGAGAAGAGGAGAGCGAGGGACCCAGGUUGUCACCGUCGAACCCGCCAACCGCGUCGCCGUUGUUCGUCCUCAUCACUGCCAGAGACGUCGCUAGGGAGCUCGCGCAAGUUGAACGUGCUGUCUUCCCGCACCAUCGCUGCCACCGUCGAGCCUUGUCGUCGUCACGCAAGACGCCACCACUGCCGUUAAUCGAAGCCGCCGCUCGCAAAGCCAAACCGCUGUGGAGCCUGAAGCCGAAGGGGGUUGUUACCACUGCUGUUCCUAGGGCACGUUGCUGCUGCUGUUGGGUUCGUCGCAGGGAGGAAUCCGAGCAAGGAAAGGAAGAAGGUGGCGAUAGAGACCUCCGCUGCUGCUGCUGUUACUAUCGGUGUUCCGGAGCUCGCGGUUACUGUCGUUGUUGGUGAUGAACCAGGUUGUGUCCUUGCUGCUGAUUGAUUGUAGUGAGAGACGUUGUAGCCACCACUUUUCAUUUUGAGUCAUUAUUGUCAUUGCUCGGUGCCGCUGCCCUUAGUUAGAACUACUGAAUGUUGUUGCUGCGGGAUUACGUUGAAAUUGUCUAUGAUGCUGUGAAUUCAAAAUUAGCGGGCUUAUCGUGGUUAAUUCGUGUGAGUUCAGCUAAUCGAGAGUUGAGAAUUUGAAAGAAAAGAAAUGGGGAUGAAGAAGAGUGAAAAAGACAGCAAAAAAGUGAUGGAAAAUAAGAAGAAUGAGAAGAAAGAUGUUGGCAGUGCUGCCAGCAAUGCAACCAUAGAAAAUGACAGCGUUUUUGCUUCUUGCUCCUUCUCUAGCCUUGGCCUUCGCCCUUCCUUAUGCGAUGAACUGCGUGAGUUUAUAUGUUUUUUGUUGAUAGAAAAAUUGGGAUUCGAGGUUCCAACUCUGGUGCAAGCUCAAGCCAUUCCUGUUAUUCUCGCUGGCCGUCAUGCACUUAUUAAUGCUGCCACAGGCACAGGGAAGACAGUUGCCUACUUAGCUCCACUUAUUCAUCACUUGCAGAAUUAUGAUACUUGCAUACAACGCUCUGAUGGAACAUUUGCGUUGGUUCUUGUACCGACGCGUGAGCUAUGUUUGCAGGUUUAUGAAAUUCUUCAAAAGCUAUUGCAUCGAUUCCAUUGGAUUGUUCCCGGGUAUGUUAUGGGUGGUGAAAAUAGAUCAAAGGAGAAAGCUAGGCUACGCAAAGGCAUAUCAAUUCUUAUAGCAACACCUGGGCGCCUUUUAGAUCAUUUGAAGAAUACAUCAUCAUUCUUGUACACAAAAUUGCGCUGGAUAAUUUUUGAUGAAGCUGAUAGGAUUUUGGAAUUAGGAUUUGGACAAGAUAUACAGGAAAUACUACAUCUUUUGGGUUCAAGGAAAGCAGCAAAUGAUAACAAGGAGAGUACAGUUCCAAGAAACUCUGAAUUUCAAAGGCAGAAUUUGCUUUUUUCUGCCACCUUAAAUGAGAAAGUGAACCAUCUUGCUAAAAUAAGUUUACACAAUCCAGUGAUGAUUGGUCUUGAGGGUAAAACAAGAAAACCAAUAUCAACAAUUGAAAGCAUUAAUCCUUCAGAGUCUGAUGAAGAAGACGAAGUCAAGUAUUCCAGUAAAAUACCAACAAUUGUAGAUUAUAAAAUCCCCACACAGUUAAUUCAGAGAUACGUGAGAGUGCCUUGUGGUUCUCGGCUUGCUGUUCUUCUUUCAAUUCUAAAGCAUCUUUUUGAAAGAGACACUUCACAAAAGGUUGUGGUAUUCUUUUCGACAUGUGAUGCGGUAGACUUUCACCAUUCGCUACUAAGUGAGUUCCACUUCUCGACUGAUCCUCAAACAAAAGAAAGGGUCAUACAGAUGUUUCUUGGAUGCCAAACUUUUCGAUUGCAUGGUAAUAUGGAACAUGAAGACCGGAGAUCUACUUUUCAGGCUUUUAAAACUGAGAAAUCUGCUUUGCUUUUGUCCACUGAUGUUUCUGCUAGAGGCCUGGAUUUUCCUAAGGUUCGAUGCAUCAUACAGUAUGAUUCUCCUGGGGAAGCUACUGAAUAUGUGCACAGAGUUGGUAGAACUGCUCGUCUGGGUGAAAGGGGAGAGUCCUUGUUAUUUCUGCAACCAGUUGAAAUAGAUUAUUUACAGGACUUGGAGAAACAUGGUGUUUCACUAGCAGAGUAUCCUCUUCUCAAAGUGUUGGAUAAUUUUACAUUACACGGACAUAACAAACAAGUAAAGAAGUCUAUUUUCAUUGACUUGCAUCCUUGGGUCCUUUGUCUCCAGAAGGCACUCGAGUCAUUCAUCAUUUCCAAGGCUCUUCAAUCCUAAUCACAGCCACCAACUUAGUUUGGUGGAAUUGAUAAGGGAACUUUUUGAAGUGGUGGGAUUGGAUGAUCCCUGCUGCUGUUGAGUCAUUGUUUAUGGUGGCAGAUUCUGGAGAAAAAUCUAACCUACUCCAAAACGAUUAGACUUAGAUAACGCCCAAGAUGGAUGAACUUGCUAGGAAGGGAUUUUGCUCUUGGGUCCGUGCUUACACAGCACAUCGUGGUGAGCUGAAAAGAAUAUUUAUGAUCAAGAAACUUCACUUGGGGCACGUGGCCAAAAGCUUUGCGUUGAAACAACAACCAUCCUUAGUUGGACAAUCCUUCCAAAAGCAAAAUAAGAAGAGAAAGAGAUUUGAGAAAAAAAAUGGGCUAUCGAAAAAGAGAAAAGUUGCUAGAGUGACUUAGGCCCAGUUUUGAUAAAUAAUUUAAAUAAGUUCUUUUUAAGGAGUUUUAUUAAUAGCA